Molecule: long non-coding RNA, 510 nt
Organism: Homo sapiens (human)
Lineage: Eukaryota; Metazoa; Chordata; Mammalia; Primates; Hominidae
Exons: 3
Source: RefSeq, a predicted model, not a curated record
UAAAUGGUAUUGAAUAUCUUGAGCUCCCAGAGUUCCAUAAAACCAUUGUGCCUGAAGAUGUGGCCCAUUCCCUCUAAUUAAAAUAUAGUGGCUGUCCCCCUUGCUUGAAGAUCAUGCAGAGGCCUCAAAUGCAUCAGCAGCUCAAAAAGCAAUGUUUGCCCUCUUUAAACUGUAUUCCUACUUCCCUGGCAGGCGAUCACAUUAAGGGUUAAAUCCAAGCAAUGAACAAAGGAGAAGCCAGGGCCUGAUGGGGAAGGAACCUAGAAAACUGCAGUUCAAUUCAGGAUCACUUACAACUUCCCUAGGGGAUCAUAACCAUUUGCUCAGUGAGAGGAAAACUUCUGGAUGGGCAGAGCUCCCAGUAAUGGACUUGGUCAGCCAUUUUGUAUGGAACGAGAAACAGCCUGAGACUACUACUGCUAUUCAGUCUUCCAGAAUCCUUGUGCCAAGAAACCAGCAGGGAAGGAAAGGAGGCACCACCCUGGAAGAGGUAAUUGAUACGGUCUUCAG